UACGAAGGGGGCUAGCGUUGCUCGGAAUCACUGGGCGUAAAGGGUGCGUAGGCGGGUCUUUAAGUCAGGGGUGAAAUCCUGGAGCUCAACUCCAGAACUGCCUUUGAUACUGAGGAUCUUGAGACCGGAAGAGGUUAGUGGAACUGCGAGUGUAGAGGUGAAAUUCGUAGAUAUUCGCAAGAACACCAGUGGCGAAGGCGGCUGACUGGUCCGGUUCUGACGCUGAGGCGCGAAAGCGUGGGGAGCAAACAGG
RNAcentral lists this ribosomal RNA (253 nucleotides) under uncultured bacterium. RNAcentral describes it as "partial 16S ribosomal RNA". It matches the Rfam family "Bacterial small subunit ribosomal RNA", at positions 524 to 776 of the family's 1533-position model. The record is from RNAcentral.